This is a long non-coding RNA of Salvia splendens (bonfire salvia), 408 nucleotides long. RefSeq lists it as uncharacterized. The transcript has 2 exons. The record is from RefSeq and is a predicted model, not a curated record. NCBI's taxonomy places the organism in Eukaryota, Viridiplantae, Streptophyta, Magnoliopsida, Lamiales, Lamiaceae.
AGAGCAGUGGAAGGUACCAUUUCUUUGGGUGGAAACGAUGGCUGUCUGAAGCUGAUAUGACACCACGAACUAUGAGGUACAGCUCAAGGAUUACAAUCAGGAGAAAUUGUAUGCAGAAAAUGUAUUUAAACAUGUUGGAGAGGGUACGAGGAAGCCAAGAUGAAGGCCCGAAACAGAUUUUCAGAUUCUUGAAAAGAAAGCUAUGCAUAGGGUUGAUGUUUGAAUUCAAGGUAACUGCUUUGUCUGAGAAAUUCACAUAUCAUUAUUGAUUGUAGUUGUUGAUUCAAUUACUUGACACCCACGAUUUAGCAUGAGAUAGUGAUUAAUUUACAGCCAGUUGAGUAUAUAAAUGAAAGUCUUCUCAACAACUUUUACUUUAUAUGAAGAGAUUUAUAUUAUUGUCUCUUA